UACUCCCCGAAAUGCAUUUAGGUGCAGCGUUGAUUUAAAGUUUUAUAGAGGUAGAGCUACUGAUUGGAUGCGGGGGCUUCACCGCCUACCAAUUCCUGACAAACUCCGAAUGCUAUAAAAUGUUGAUCAGCAGUGAGGGCAUGGGUGCUAAGGUCCAUGUCCGAGAGGGAAAGAACCCAGACCAUCAGCUAAGGUCCCCAAAUGUAUAUUAAGUUGAAGAAACGCGGUUGAACUGCCCAGACAGCUAGGAUGUUGGCUUGGAAGCAGCCAUUCAUUUAAAGAGUGCGUAACAGCUCACUAGUCGAGCGGUUCGGCAUGGAUAAUAAUCGGGCAUAAAUAUACUACCGAAGCUAUGGAUUUCAUAUUUAAGUAUAUGGAGUGGUAGGGGAGCAUUGUAAUGGGGUUGAAGGUGUGCUGUCAGGCAUGCUGGACUAAUUACAAAAG
RNAcentral lists this non-coding RNA (444 nucleotides) under Gillisia limnaea DSM 15749. RNAcentral describes it as "Bacterial large subunit ribosomal RNA". It matches the Rfam family "Bacterial large subunit ribosomal RNA", at positions 853 to 1290 of the family's 2925-position model. Lineage: Bacteria; Pseudomonadati; Bacteroidota; Flavobacteriia; Flavobacteriales; Flavobacteriaceae. The record is from Rfam by way of RNAcentral.